AUGCCUUAUGUUUCCAUGACAAAGCGUCAUGCUUGUCACGUGACACACGCAGCAACGAAAACACUGUUUGACAGAUGUAUCGCUUUUAUUUUGUAUUUGCUUUUUUUGUUUCAUUUUUAUUUGAUUGUUAAAAGCAUUUUAGACAUUAUACCUUACACUAUGCCAAAAAGCAAACAACAUAAUAUGUUUGUUUAUUUAUUAAAAAUAAGUCACACCAACAUAGGGGUAGGUGAUAUACCAGCAAACAUGAUAAUCUGGUAGAAAUUUGUCAACCAGUAGAGAUUUUGGACUAUUGUCUUUGUAGAGGUUAUACGCUCACACAACGUUUAAGUUGUAUUUCUUUUCUUAUUUUAUAAUGCUUGAAGUUUGGUGUUUUUUUUUUUUUUUUGUCUUAUUGCUUUUCAUUUGUUUAUUUGUUCUCAUUUUAUCACCAACUGUUUACUUUAGUAAGCUUUAGAGUUUUUCUUUUUUGCUCAGGUUAGAUAGGCUAUUUUGUGAUAUUGAAAUUAAUGAUAAGAAUAAUCAGCCUGAAAUAGUAAAAUAAGAACUUUUUCUUAAAACCUUAAACUAAUUUUUCACAAAGUCUGUUGUUGUUGAGAUGGUCUCCAAUGCCACACCUUUCUCUACAGCUGUCAGUCAUUUACGGGAAACCAAAACUGAACAAACAUAUCUAUCAGUGGAGCAUGACAGUUAUGGGAAUGUUACGUGAAUAUUUUAUAUACUUUUUUUUGUGACCACAGGCUAUUCAUAGUACUAUUAGUACAUGUACUAUUCAUAGUAGCAUAUAUAUAUAUAUAUAUAUAUAUAUAUAUAUAUAUAUAUAUAUAUAUAUAUAUGUGUGUGUGUGUGUGUGUGUGUGAUUGAUUAAGAUUGAUUAAAUUAAUAAACUGCUGGAAAUUUGUCAACAGUUUUGGACUAUUGUCACAGCACUCCACAAAUUAAUUAAGUUAAUUCUUUAUAUAUUAUAAAUAAUUAAUAAUCCUUUUAGAUUUUUUUUCUUUGUGUGGCUGUUAAAGGGUCAAAAUGAAUGAAUGAAUAAAUAAAUAAAUAAAUAAAUAAAUAAUCUUGAACUUCUGAUGAUUACCAAACUCCUUACUCUUUAUAUGUUUGAUUUACGUAUUUUUUACAAUGCUGAACACUGAAAUAAAGACAUGCCUAAUUAUUUUGUCUGUUCUAUUGCAUGAACCUUAUUUUUCUGGAGAAGCUAAACAUAUUAUGCUAUUGUCAUACGUAAUUAUGCUUAUAUAAAAGUAAAAAAUAAAAAUAAAAUAGUUCUUAAAUAAAAGGAAAGCACAUGGACUUAUAUACUUACAGACAAGGAGAAAACUAGCGCAGCAAUGCCCAGAGGUAAGCAGCAGCACAGCAUGGUGAAGAUGGAGUAGCCCAAGUAAUCUGCCACUGGAUUGGCCAAUGGAGCGGCGGUCACAAAAACUGCAGGCUGCACAGUGACCACGGACUGUCCUGGAUACGGCCCCUGGGCGUAGGGGCCUUGGGGUUCUGGGUGGCUUGGAAAGGAGUGAGGAUAUCCAACAGGAUUGUCCUGGUAUGCUGGUGGAGGUGCUGCUGGCUGCAACAUCGCUGAUUUCUCAGAUGAAUUGCAGGCCCCUGGAGGCUGAUUGAAAGACGGGCUGGAAUCCAUUUGUCUGAUUAUUGGAUUUUGGUUGUAAUUUCCUUUGCCUUGUGCUCUGCAGAGGCGAAUGUAUUACUGUACUUUGGUGUCAUAUAUCCUGUCAGUUAAGGUAGGCAGCAUGUGGGAGGUGAGUUGUAGGUUGUAGGGGUGGAGUGAGUAGACGUUUACCUUUGUAUCCAUUAUACUACUGUAUGUGACUGCAGGCGUCACACUGAGGUUUUACAUUUACUGAGAUACAUAAAAUAUCAGGAGUAUUUCACCACACCAAAUCAUAUUUUUGGGACCUUGUGACAAUGAAUCUUUUUAACCAGUUUCCUUAUCCCUCCUGCCAGCAUUACACGUCUGAACUCACAACAUGGGUUAUAAACUCAACCUUCCUGUGUUUAAAACAAAAAGCACUGUUAAUUAAUUUAAAAAAAAAAACAACAACAUGCAAUAUGUACAUUAUUUAGAACUAUCAGAAUGGCAGUUAUGGGGAAGUUACAUGAAGCAAGGGCUGUAUGUCAAGCACAAUACAUUUUACCUUUACUUUCACUUUUACUAUACUGUAAAAAAAUUGCCAGGAAUUUACAUGAUUAAAGAGUAUUAUUUACAAUAAAUUACUGCAGUCAGAAAUUUACUGUGAAAUCAAUGCAUGCUGGGUCAUUUUAUUACAAAUUACUAUGAAUGAACAGCAGAAUGAUGCUAACAUCACAAUAAUUUACUGCUCUUGAUUUACCGGGGAAUUCAUAUUAUAAAGUUGUCUUUAACUGUGCCACUGUGAGAAAUGUAGUUGUUUACUACUGUAAUCGUUUUGAAGUCACCAUAAUGAUGAUUGGUGAUCCAAUUUAAUAUUUAAUAACAGUUUAAAUAACUGAUUAUUUUCAGGCUACUAAGAGAAACGAUGUGUAGUUGACCGUUAAGUCACUGACUUGAUUUAUUGAUGCACAAACAGCAAUAAAUGAUUCUGAGAGAAAGAACACCUGACUGUACACUAAUCAUUACACUGAUCUCAGUUUAUUAGAAUGAACACCCCCCACCCCUCUCAAAGUGACUUGAUCUCAGUUGAACAUUUAAAAUCAUAACACCAAAUGUGUUUGUGUUUGUCAAUUAUAUUUAAGGCCAUAUUAAAGGACACCUUCUGGUAUAAUAAUCUCUCAUUAUUAAGGAGAUUUAAGAUAUCCAAUAUAGAGGACCAUAACAAAGAAGUACUGUAGAUGAAGGAUGACAUUCUGUCUCUACUUGCUGAUGAUGUUGGCACUGAAAGUAAAUGUGAAGCAUACUGUCUACCACUAGUUUUUCAGAACUACUCAUUCUGAGAUGACAUAGUCUCUACCAACAUCAUGCAAGAACAUCUCCAGAACAUCAGACCUUUAAUCUCAAACCACAAUUUGGUUGAGAAAUACUUUUCAUUUUACAUUGGCAGUAAAGACUCCCUAACAAAAUAUCCCCCUGUAAAAUAAUAAUUGCAGGUUUUUCCUGUUUAAGAAAUUGUAAAGUGAAACAAUUGACAAUUUCACACACAAUAUUAUAAAUUUGUACUGUUUCGCUAAUGAAAAUAUUUCCAGUGUUUCGUUCUUAAUUGAUUUAGCAUUUUUGAAUGAAUCAGGUUGAUGACACUUGCUUGUUUAAUGAAUGAUUCAGCCAUUUCGAACAAAUUCAUUACAUUAUAGUUCUAUAUUCAAAAUUUUGUAUUUAAAACAUUAUUUUCAUAACAUUAUUUAUACAUUUUUUAUUGGAGUGUAAAUUAAUUAAUUACAACUGAGCUGCAUUAAACAGUCUAAAUGCCACUUCAGAUGCAGCUUCUGUGCCGCCUCUGCAGUGCAAAGAUGAAUUUUGAUGAUACUGCGCUUAUUUGACUGGUAACAGCCCUAUGAUGCUUAUUAGUGUAAAGAAUUAAAGGUGCAAUAGGUGAUUGUCCUCGGAAACAUUUUUUUUUAUACUUUUGUUAUAAGUCUCUUCACAUCCCGAUAGCAAUCAUUAAGUUAAGUGGGCUACAUGUAUUUAUAUAAUCUGUGGAAGGCGCAGGACCAGGAAAUGUUCAUCCAAUCAAAAUGUUGAGUCCGGACAUUAUGAUAGGCUUUCCUACCUGCCUGUCAACAUAAGUAUUUGCAUACCUUUGUGCACCCUGUUCGCGCAGACAGGAUACGUCAUCAGCACGUUCACAUAUGCUGUGCAGACAGAGCGAGAAUGGCAGGCAAACAUCAACAACCUGACCAUCCUUCACAACAAACGACGUCAAGUACUAUUAAGUUUUCUCACCGGUGAAUGACACAUGAUGUAUUGCAGUAAUGUUGUGUCUGGUGGUCUGGUCUGUGAGCGUUCAUGUGUUCAGGAGGCGUGGCUUUGGAUGUCGAUUUGCAGGGAGGGUGGGACAGUGCUGUCAGGCUAAGCUAAGCAUUUUUCAAAAUGUCCUACUGCACCUUUAAAAGACAUUCUACAGUAUGUAACCUGCCUGCCAUAUUUUGUAGUGCCAUAGCUUUCUUACUAACAAAAAAAAAAAUCUCAUCAUUUGUAAGGGAACAGAAACUGUUCAAAUUGUAUUGUUUAUUCUAUUGUUUUUCAGGAAGUGAUAAAAGGAGAGGGUAACCAAAGGAUGUGCAUGUAGCACAGAUAUGGAAACUGGUAUGUUCCUGUGGCUCAGUGGUAGAGCAUUGUUUUAGCAGUGCAAAGGUUGUGGGUUUGAUUCCCAGGGGAACACAUGUUAGGUAAAAAAAAAAAAAAAAAAAAUUUUUAGCCUGAUUGCACUGUAAGUCACUUCGGAUAAAAGCGUCUGCUAAAUGCAUAAAUGUAACUGUUGUCUGUUUAAGAUUAAAGGGGUGGUUGAUUAUGAUUUCCCUCUUUUAACUUUAGUUAGUGUGUUAAUGUUGAUGUAUGAACUACAUCUGCAAAGUUCAGUGCAAAGGGAGAAAUCACUGUUUAAGGACUCAAAAAA
Cyprinus carpio carpio is the source of this 4544-nucleotide long non-coding RNA. Lineage: Eukaryota; Metazoa; Chordata; Actinopteri; Cypriniformes; Cyprinidae. The record is from Ensembl.